GGGGAAGGCCAGGCAGAGGCGCUCUUGGGAAGAGGGCGAGGUUCUCCGGACAGUGGGCGGGACUAGAGAGGCCACCUGCAGACACACCCUGGCUUCUCCUGGUCCCUCUUCCCUCCCUUCCCCCUCGGGGCACAGAGACGAUCCACACGUGGGGUCUCCGAGCUCUAGGGUCCUUUUACGUAGCAUAGUCAGGCCUGGGAUCAGAACGUCAUGUUCUUGCUAAAAGUCUCGGUGUGUCCUAGUUGUUUUAGAGACUUGGAGAGGAAUGGGGGUAAAAAAAAACCCCAAAACCCGAGAACUAUCGCGCCAAGAGAAGUCAGGAUUCUAGGAAGCCUAGGACGCCAAACAAAUGGAGACCAAAAAACAAGACGGGAGGACUGGAGACGAAGCAGGCAAAAAGUCAUCAGCCACGGCUGUUGUACGGUGUGUUUCACCUCUCCUACCAAGCCUUCAUCCCUGUCUAUGAGGACGAAGAAGUUACCGGGGAAAUUGGUGAUGGGCCUGGCUGUCCUGGAGAAUGCUCUUGAUUAAGGUAGGCCAUGGAACGAAUGGGGACAUUAGAAAUAGCAUAUUUCCAUGGUUUUGAGUAGUAUGCGAAAGUGACCCAUGCCUUCUUCAGCCGACUGUGGGCAAGCAGGUGGUGAGAAAUGCCGUGCCGGCUAGGUUGAGCUGUCUGCAGUGAAGUAAUAGUUUCUAAGGGAUUUACCUGUGUAAAGAUGGUGCAUUGUUUCUGAAGUUAGAAUUGUAGAAUUGUACCACAGAUAGGGUAGCCCAGAGCCCUAGAAAUCUUAAGGUAUAAGAAUGUCGUAGUCACAUACAUUUUGCUUUACAUUAAGAGACUACAUCUAGCCAGAAGGUGAGUGGAAACCUAAAGUAGUAGUACCUCCCUGGGUCCCAGGAAUUCAGAAAUGACAGAUUGCAGCUAUGGCUAACUGACAUAUUCUUCAAGCAUUAUAUUCGUGUCAGUUCAAAUGGUAUCUCUAAAUGAAAGGUUCAAAGGAAAGAAACAGUUCAGUAACGGCACAGUGGACCCCCAUCUUUACCUUAGCAGAGAGUCCUAAGUUCAGCAGUGCUGAAGUUAAACAAGUACAGUUCAAUACUUCCAUUAUGCCCCGUGCCUUAAGUGAGCAGGGACAUGAAAACAAAGGCAUUCUUACAACUCACUUUGGGCGGAGAUUUACAGAACUGUACAAGCUCUAACCAGAAAAGCAACGCUGUUUAUUGAUUCACCA
RNAcentral lists this long non-coding RNA (1232 nucleotides) under Rattus norvegicus (Norway rat). RNAcentral describes it as "long non-coding RNA NONRATT033902". Lineage: Eukaryota; Metazoa; Chordata; Mammalia; Rodentia; Muridae. The record is from RNAcentral.